RNAcentral lists this ribosomal RNA (419 nucleotides) under uncultured bacterium. Its description in RNAcentral is "bacterial SSU rRNA". It matches the Rfam family "Bacterial small subunit ribosomal RNA", at positions 36 to 500 of the family's 1533-position model. The record is from RNAcentral.
CUGGCGGCACGCCUAACACAUGCAAGUCGAACGAAGUAGCAAUACUUAGUGGCAGACGGGUGAGUAACAUGUGGGUAUCUACCCUUUGGCCUGGAAUAACACGAGGAAACUUGUGCUAAUACUGGAUAAGUCUUUACGGAGAAAGCUUUAUGCACCAUUGGAUGAGCCUGCACUUGAUUAGUUUGUUGGUGGGGUAAUGGCCUACCAAGACUGUGAUCAAUAGCUGAUUUGAGAGGAUGAUCAGCCACAUUGGGACUGAGACACGGCCCAAACUCCUACGGGAGGCAGCAGUGGGGAAUCUUGCACAAUGGAGGAAACUCUGAUGCAGCGAUGCCGCGUGAGUGAAGAAGGCCUUUGGGUUGUAAAGCUCUUUCGUCGGGGAAGAAAAUGACUGUACCCGAAUAAGAAGGUCCGGCUAA